UAUAAUUAAUUUUAAUUAAAAUUCAAAAUUGAAAGAAUUAUUAGAAACUUCAUUUAGAGCCUCUACUGCUCGCACUAGGGUUUCGAUGGUAAAUUGGGAUGCUGUUUGUUCUACGAAAUCUGAUGGCGGGUUAGGUUUUCACAGAUUGAAGUUGGUUAAUAAGGUUUUUAUGAUGAGGCUAGCUUUUAAGUUGUUUUGUGGUUCUUCUUCUCUAUGGAUGGAAGUUUUGCGCUCUAAAUAUUUAAAUGGGACAGUUGGUCUUCCUUCCACCCUUUUUGCUGGUCCGGGUUUACCGAUUUGGAGAGCUAUUGGGGCUGUUUAGCCUCUUGUUCGGACGAAUGUUAGGUGGCUAGCUCGAGAGGGUUCUUUUCUUCUCUUUUGGAAAGAUAGCCGGAUCCCUGGAAUGCCUCCUCCAGUUGAGUUUCUUGAUCACUCUUCUCAGGGCGUUUUAUCCUUUCCUUUUGUUGAUAGGACGGUGGACUUUUUAGUGGAUUUGGAGGGCUAAUUGGAAUUGGGGUUUCUUCAGUCAUUAUCUUGAUCAGUAUUCUCUUGUGCUAAUUGCUGCUACUCUUCCACCGCAGCAAGAAGUAAGCAGAGACGUGUUGGUGUGGUCUCCCUCUAAAGAUGGUAGGUUUUCUAUUCAAUCUUCUCUCCUCUUGUUGGAAUCUACUUGCUGUAUUGCUGUGGACAGAAUAUGGGACCUUAUUUGGUCAUAGAAGGGUCCUGAGAAGAUUAGAGUGUUCUUGUGUUUGGCAUCUUAAGGCCGUACUCUUACCGAUGCACAACGCAAGUCCCGGGGAUUGACCGUUGAUGCUAGUUGCUUUGCCUGUGGUUAUGUUGUGGAAGACGUUCUUCACUUUUUGCGAGACCGUUUUAGUGCUAGAUUUGGUUGGAUGGGUUUGGUGUCCCAAGACAAAUGGGAUGUUUUUUUUUCUCUCUAGCAAUAGUAGAGAUUGGUUUCUUUCAAAUCUGAGACAAAAUUUUGGUAAAUCUGUUUCUAAUUGGCCCAUAAUGUUUGGGAUAACUAUCUGGUGGUUAUGUAAGUGGCAAUGCUCUUGUAUUUUCUCAGGAUUGGAGCUUCCUUGUGAUCCUACUCAGUUUAUUGCAUUAAAAGUAGAGGAAGUCCUCCAUGCUUAUCUUUGUUUGGACAAGCAUCACAUUCCGAUUGUUCAGAAACAUCUCAUGGUCAAUUGGUCUAUACCUCCUCAUAAAUGGGUCAAACUUAAUUCAGAAGGGAGUGUUGUUAACCAUCUUGGGGCGACAGGAGAUUUGCUUGUAAUCUUGGUUUCUGUGUUGUUUUUGAAGCUCAACUUUGGGGCAUUUUUCAAGGUCUCCACUUGGCAUGGGAUUUAGGUUUCAAACAAGAGAUUGUUGAGUUUGAUAACUCGGAACUUAUCAAGUUGUGUAAAGUUCUUCGGUUUCUUUGAAUAAUCAUGGCUCUAUUUUAGAUUCUAUCUGCCAUUUGCGUCAUCAUAAGUGGAAGCUUGAUUUUCAUCAUGUUUAUAGAAAGGCCAAUGCUUGUGCAGAUUUCCUUUCUAAACUGGCUCAUGGUUUUCCUAUCGGCUUAUCUCGCCUCUCUAAUUCGCUGCCUAGCCUUCUUCCGCUUUUGCAAGGAGAUUGUUCGGAUGUUUCGUUUUCUUCUCGUGUCUAUAUAAGUUUUUUUCUUUCCCUUUGUCUUUU
RNAcentral lists this unclassified non-coding RNA (1680 nucleotides) under Hevea brasiliensis (rubber tree). Lineage: Eukaryota; Viridiplantae; Streptophyta; Magnoliopsida; Malpighiales; Euphorbiaceae. The record is from RNAcentral.